GACGAACGCUGGCGGCGUGCUUAACACAUGCAAGUCGAACGGAAAGGCCCCUUUGGGGGUACUCGAGUGGCGAACGGGUGAGUAACACGUGAGUAACCUGCCCUUGACUUCGGGAUAACUUCAGGAAACUGGGGCUAAUACCGGAUAGGAAUCCUUGCUGCAUGGUGGGGGUUGGAAAGCUUCGGCGGUUUUGGAUGGACUCGCGGCUUAUCAGCUUGUUGGUGGGGUAGUGGCUUACCAAGGCUUUGACGGGUAGCCGGCCUGAGAGGGCGACCGGCCACAUUGGGACUGAGAUACGGCCCAGACUCCUACGGGAGGCAGCAGUGGGGAAUAUUGCACAAUAGGCGGAAGCCUGAUGCAGCAACGCCGCGUGCAGGAUGACGGCCUUCGGGUUGUAAACCGCUUUCAGCAGGGGCGAAGCUUGUGGUGACGGUACCUGCAGAAGAAGCACCGGCUAACUACGUG
Molecule: ribosomal RNA, 465 nt
Filed under: uncultured bacterium
Lineage: Bacteria
Description: partial 16S ribosomal RNA
Rfam family: Bacterial small subunit ribosomal RNA
Source: RNAcentral